GAAAAGCCCCUCUGAGGAAGUGACAUUUAAAUGGAAGUCUAAUUAAAUUACUCUAGGAAGAGGACACAGCAAGUACAAAUGUCAGAAGACCAGUACAGGUGUCACCGGACUAAAACUGGAGUAUCAGCAGGCAUUCCCUGCUGGAGGCUUAAGGGCAGAAUCCAUUUCCUUGCAUUUUCCAGCUUCUAGAGGCAUCUCCCUGGUCCUUGCAUACUGUCGCCAACAUUUCAGAACUGGCAAUAGGAUUGUCCAAAACUAAACAUCUGCUGCUAAGAUUUGAGUAAUAGUCCAUCCUUGCCAUCUACCACCUUUUGCCUAAUUUGGGUUUGGAUAGUCAGCAAGAGAGCCAAGACAAGAGUGGUUUGGCCACAGGGCAGUUUUGACCUGCCCUUGAAUCCAUGCCAAUUCAUUCUGAGAAAGCCUCAGCGAACCACUGAUGGAAAUCAACGGGGCCCUCACUCGUCUCCUGGGCAAAAUGCUGCACCUUCGCCGAGCUCACCUUCAGUGGAAAGGCUUCAAGCAGUACUUUCUGUCAGAAUGACCUCUUUCACCAUCUACCUCAAGUUGACAACUGAUGCAAGACAUCUACUUUCCCACAGAAAACAUAGAAAAGAACAGCCAAGGCUCUUUAUUAUCUUGUCCUCAAGCUCUCUCAGGUGUUGGAGAUAAUCAAGAUAAUCCAAAACCAUAUCAUGAGCAAAAAUACAGAAAAAAUGCUUUAUCGCAAGAAGGAUAUGUACCUGGAUCCAGUAGAGUAAGAUGUAAUUCUCAGAUUUCUAUUAAAACUAUUUGGGGAAGACCCAAACUCUCUUUCCAUUAAAAUUGCCAAGCUUUUACGAUAAGAGUCUGGGACUGCCAGAAUCCAGCCAGUUAUGUUACGUGGAAGUUAUGUGCCUGUGAAUUCAGCCAAUAUGGAAAAAAUCAGAGGCAAGAGAUGGAGAGUCAAUGUCCUUUGAGAACCUGGAUCAAGUCACAGCUGAGUUGCCCACCACUGGAUAUUCAGGAAUCCCAUAUCUCAACUCGUUUGGUAUGUAUGGAACAUAAAAAGAAAAAAAGAGAGAAACUCAUCAAGUGGAAGAACGGGAUGAGGAAAAGGUUUACUCAGGGAGGCUGCAUGGGGAAGAAAGGGCAGCCAAAGAUGAAACUCUGUGGACAAUAUGGUGCAACAGAG
RNAcentral lists this long non-coding RNA (1171 nucleotides) under Equus caballus (horse). RNAcentral's name for it is "lncRNA (ENSECAG00000058642.1)". Lineage: Eukaryota; Metazoa; Chordata; Mammalia; Perissodactyla; Equidae. The record is from RNAcentral.